This 1644-nucleotide unclassified non-coding RNA is filed under the name Hevea brasiliensis (rubber tree). Lineage: Eukaryota; Viridiplantae; Streptophyta; Magnoliopsida; Malpighiales; Euphorbiaceae. The record is from RNAcentral.
CUGUGCUGGGAGGUGCCGUCAUAACUCUGAGAGUGUGGUAAGUGUUACUUUUUGUUUUUGUUGUGUUCUCUUGUAGAAUUUAUGGAAACAUUGGAAUGAUGUCUAUUGGAGGUGAUUGGAGUAUAAUGUCAAGAAUGUUAGCAUUAUGUUGGGGGGUAGCCAGAUGGGAAAAGGGCAUGAUCUAUGUUGUGGAGAUGAACCUUUUUAGCUUACUUAGUCAGGGAUACUUUGCAAUUUUGAUAAAUAUGCAACAGAAGACAGGCAUUUGGUCAUGGAAAGUGGAAGAACUCAUUAGAAAAUCAAAAUUCAAGACUUUCAGGAUCUUCCAAGAUUUAGAGGUUUCUCAAAGUGUUUCCUUUCUUCAGCAGAGAUAAAAAUUGAUUUAGAGGAAGAAUUUCUUUGAUACAUGGUUCUAUAUCUACAGCAAAGCUGAUGGGAAGGCUCUUAUUCCAAUCACCUUUUUAAAUUGCUUGUUAGAUGGGAUUGCUGUAAUACUUUUCCUAUGUCUUACCUUUUCUGGAGUGUAUGGAGUUUUUCCAUCAUGUUGGAUUGGCAUUAUGAGGCAUGCAAGGUGCAGGAAUGCUAUUCUACGGAAAGCAACUCCUCUGUGCAUGUCAUGAUAAAUCUUGCUUGUAGGCAAUGAAAGGAUUUUUGAGGAGAUGAGGACCUUGGUGUAAAAUUUGAAGAUUGAUACUUUGAUCACUAAUUGCUUGGAUGACUACCUUUCCUUGCAUUGUAUUUCCUACUUCUUUUGUGGAUUCCUUGGAAUCCUUGCACUUUGGUGUCUAAUUUGUUGUCUUAUUGUGUUCACCCUUUAUUAAUUUUAUUUAUUUCCUCUUGAUUGUAUAGAUGGACAGGCAUUUCCCUAUUCUUUUUUUUUUUCAACUGUGUUAUUGUAUAUUGGAAAGAGGAUUCUAUAAUAAUUAAGUCCAUGAGGAAGUUGAAAAUGUUGUCAAUGUGACAAGAUAUGCAAGAUCAUUAGUUAGUGUUAAACCCUUUAAGCAGUUUCCACUAGUGAAAGUAAGGAACUGGAAGAGGUCUCCUAGAUGAGCACAAUGAAGGUUUAGGAAGGAGAAUUCCUCUCUUGGAUGCUGCAGAAGGCAGAAUGUGAAUUUGACAAGUGCAACUCUUCUCAACUCUAUCUUACUGGAUAGUUUUCCUUGUUGAAUUUAUGAGUAUUUAUUUCUUUGGUAUUUUAUUUGAUUUCACUUUGUUCAGCACUCUCAAGGAAGAAAUGUUGUGAUAUCACCUUUAUCCUUUGUGAUUUAUGUGUUCUUUUGAAAUUCCCUAAUAAGUGAAUUUCCUUACUUGUUCAUUGAUUAAUUCUAUAAGAUAAUGGUUGCAAAGAUUAUAUGAGCCUUGACAAUAAUGAUGGCAAUGAUGAUAAUCAUAAUUGAUACUAGUUAUGAAAAAUCAUCAAAUUCAAACAUGUUAAGAAUAAUUCUAAGCUUAAGAUGCAUAUACAUCCUCCAUAGAUUUGCCUUUACAAGAAUGCUAGCGUUAAAAGAAAUCUUAUGACGGAUUUUUAUUUGAUUGCAAAUCAUCCCAGUUUGUUAAGAUCUGCUAGAUGUGAAAUUGCACCUGAAAUAAGUGUGAAUUUUGCAGGUUCAUGAGAAUGCGUAUCUUAGUGAUUUCCAUCAUUGC